This is a small nuclear RNA of Talpa occidentalis (Iberian mole), 164 nucleotides long. RefSeq annotates it as U1 spliceosomal RNA. NCBI's taxonomy places the organism in Eukaryota, Metazoa, Chordata, Mammalia, Eulipotyphla, Talpidae. The transcript has a single exon. The record is from RefSeq and is a predicted model, not a curated record.
AUACUUACCAGGAGGGGGAGAUACUGUGACCACCAAGGUGGUUUUCCCAGGGCAAGGCUCAUCCAUUGCACUGCAGACCUGAGAUUUCCCUGAGAUCCCUGAGAUUUCCCCCAAUGUGGGAAACUCGAUUGCAUAAUUUGUGGUAGUGGGGGACUGUGUCCCUG